Molecule: ribosomal RNA, 770 nt
Filed under: Asiopsocus sonorensis
Lineage: Eukaryota; Metazoa; Arthropoda; Insecta; Psocodea; Asiopsocidae
Description: 12S ribosomal RNA
Source: RNAcentral
AAAAGUUUUGUUAAAUUAUUAGUUAAAAUAUAUAAAUGAGUUCUAUCUAAGAUAGGGUUUUAAUAAAAGUUUUAUUCUAGUUUUAAGGAAAUUUAGUUUAUAGGGUGAAUGUAUAUUUAUGUUAAUAACUAUUACAUUAUUUAUAAUUGGACAAUUAGGGGUAAUGUUUCAGUAAUAAAUUUUUGUAGUAGUUAAUAUUGUGCCAGCAACUGCGGUUAUACAAUAGCUGGAUUUUACAGUUAUCGGGGGUAUUGGUUAAGAAUUAAAUGGGUUUUGAUUAAAAAAUUUUAGGUUAAAUUUAAUUUAUAAAGGGGUAGUAAAUAAAUUUAAUCAAUUAUUAAGUGAGACUAGGAUUAGAUACCCUAUUAUCAAAAUAUUGAGGGUAGUAUAUGAUAAAAUCAGGAAACCUAAAGAAUUUGGCGGUGUUUAGUUUUAAUAGAGGAAUAUGCUUUAAAAAUGAUGUUCCCCAAAAAUCUUACUUAUUUUUUAUAUUUUGUAUACUUCCGUUGUUGGUUAUUUAAAAAUUUAUGUAAAAUUAUUAAGGGAUUUAUAUUCAGGUUAAUGUGCAGGUUUAUAAAUAAGUUAAAGUGUAUUACAGUAAAUUUAUUUAUGGUUUAAUUUUAAAUAUUUUAUUUAAAUUGGAUUUAAAAGUAAACUUGUUUUUAUUAUUAUAGGUUGAAUAUAAAGACGAACAUGUACAUAUUGCCCGUCAUUCUCUUAGAGACAAGUCGUAACAAAGUGGGUUUACUGGAAGGUAAAUCUGCGAGAAU